RNAcentral lists this ribosomal RNA (497 nucleotides) under uncultured bacterium. RNAcentral's name for it is "partial 16S ribosomal RNA". It matches the Rfam family "Bacterial small subunit ribosomal RNA", at positions 28 to 507 of the family's 1533-position model. The record is from RNAcentral.
GAUGAACGCUGGCGGCGUGCCUAAUACAUGCAAGUCGAGCGAACGGACGAGAAGCUUGCUUCUCUGAUGUUAGCGGCGGACGGGUGAGUAACACGUGGAUAACCUACCUAUAAGACUGGGAUAACUUCGGGAAACCGGAGCUAAUACCGGAUAAUAUUUUGAACCGCAUGGUUCAAAAGUGAAAGACGGUCUUGCUGUCACUUAUAGAUGGAUCCGCGCUGCAUUAGCUAGUUGGUAAGGUAACGGCUUACCAAGGCAACGAUGCAUAGCCGACCUGAGAGGGUGAUCGGCCACACUGGAACUGAGACACGGUCCAGACUCCUAUGGGAGGCAGCAGUAGGGAAUCUUCCGCAAUGGGCGAAAGCCUGACGGAGCAACGCCGCGUGAGUGAUGAAGGUCUUCGGAUCGUAAAACUCUGUUAUUAGGGAAGAACAUAUGUGUAAGUAACUGUACACAUCUUGACGGUACCUAAUCAGAAAGCCACGGCUAACUACGUG